UGAAACAGUGAUCACAAUGGAAGCCUUUUGGUAGCCCUCAACUUCCCUCACACAACCCCACUCACAACAGGACUCUCCACUUUCUCUCUCUCCAAAUCCUAACCCUAAUUAAGACCCUAACCCAAUACCCACUCCACCUAAGGCUCCCAUAAAAUGGCAAUCACAACAGGAGAAGGUAAAUGAACUCAUGAAGACUUGGAGACCACAGAGCAAGGGAUGCACAGAACGCAAGAGGAGCACGGUAGCACAAUGCACUGCCUUCAGGAAGUUGGUUUUGUUUUUAUGGAAAACCAGGAAGAGGUAACGACAUUGGAAUUAAGAGCUUCACAUUUGCCAUGGGAAAGAGGAGAAAACCACAGAGCUUGGGGCAGAUGAGCAGGGCAGAAGCUGCACGGCUGGAGCUGCUUGCAGUGGUCACCCAAGGCUGGAGCCCACGAGUGAGGAACAAAGGGAAGAGUUCAUUGUGCAAAAUGAAGCGCUCAGCACAGCAGAGGAAGAAGCCACACGCUGCUCAGAACAGAGGGAGUUUCAGAUUUAUCCAUACUUGAAGUAUUUUCCUUGCUGAAACUCUGUCUCCAACACGUCUCCCAACUUCCAUUUCUGCCCCCUAUUGCUGCAGGGGACAUCAGCUCCUUGGGUAGAGGCCAGCAGUACUGCAGAUGCCAUUCAUUUAGAGUCCACAAUUACCCAUCCUGGUGCAGUAAAGUUGCCUCUUUCAAGAACUUUCUGCUCCAAGUUAUUGCCUGAUUAUUUUAAAACGUGUUACAUUUGUUUAGGAUCA
Long non-coding RNA from Cygnus olor (mute swan), 781 nucleotides. RefSeq lists it as uncharacterized. The transcript has 3 exons. Lineage: Eukaryota; Metazoa; Chordata; Aves; Anseriformes; Anatidae. The record is from RefSeq and is a predicted model, not a curated record.